GGUAGAGAAUACCGAGGGGCGCGAGGUAACUCUCUCUAAGGAACUCGGCAAAAUGGCCCCGUAACUUCGGGAGAAGGGGUGCCAGCGAGGGCUGGUCGCAGUGAAGAGGCCCAGGCGACUGUUUACCAAAAACACAGGUCUCCGCUAAGUCGCAAGACGAUGUAUGGGGGCUGACGCCUGCCCAGUGCCGGAAGGUUAAGGAAGCUGGUCAGCGCAAGCGAAGCUAGCGACUGAAGCCCCGGUGAACGGCGGCCGUAACGAUAACGGUCCUAAGGUAGCGAAAUUCCUUGUCGGGUAAGUUCCGACCCGCACGAAAGGCGUAACGAUCUGGGCGCUGUCUCGGAGAGAGGCUCGGCGAAAUAGAAUUGUCUGUGAAGAUGCGGACUACGUGCACCCGGACAGAAAGACCCUAUGAAGCUUUACUGUAGCUUGGUAUUGUGCUCGGGCUCGAAAUGCGCAGGAUAGGUGGGAGGCUUGGAUCCAUUGCUUGCGGGUGAUGGUGAGCCACUGGUGAGAUACCACUCUUUCCGAGCUAGAGUUCUAACCCUCGCCCGUUAUCCGGGGAGGGGACAGUAUCAGGUGGGCAGUUUGACUGGGGCGGUCGCCUCCUAAAAGGUAACGGAGGCGUGCAAAGGUUCCCUCAGGCUGGUUGGAAAUCAGCCGACGAGUGCAAAGGCAGAAGGGAGCUUGACUGUGAGACCUACAAGUCGAACAGGGACGAAAGUCGGCCUUAGUGAUCCGACGGUUUUGCGUGGAAGGGCCGUCGCUCAACGGAUAAAAGUUACUCUAGGAUAACAGGCUGAUCUCCCCCAAGAGUUCACAUCGACGGGGAGGUUUGGCACCUCGAUGUCGGCUCAUCGCAACCUGGGGCUGAAGUCGGUCCCAAGGGUUGGGCUGUUCGCCCAUUAAAGCGGUACGCGAGCUGGGUUCAGAACGUCGUGAGACAGUUCGGUCCAUAUCCGGUGCACGCGCAGGAAUAUUGAGAGGAUUUCUCCCUAGUACGAGAGGACCGGGAGGAACGCACCUCUGGUGUGCCAGUUAUCGUGCCAACGGUAAACGCUGGGUAGCCAUGUGCGGAGAGGAUAACCGCUGAAAGCAUCUAAGUGGGAAGCCCACCUCAAGAUGAGUAUUCCCAUGGCAAAAGCCAGUAAGGUCACGGGAAGAUUACCCGUUGAUAGGCUCUACGUGGAAGCGCAGCAAUGCGUGAAGCGGAGGAGUACUAAUAGACC
This 1229-nucleotide ribosomal RNA is filed under the name metagenome. Its description in RNAcentral is "bacterial LSU rRNA". It matches the Rfam family "Bacterial large subunit ribosomal RNA", at positions 1669 to 2910 of the family's 2925-position model. The record is from RNAcentral.